GAACGAACGUUAGCGGCGUGCCUAACACAUGCAAGUCGCACGAGAAAGGGCUUCGGCCCCGGUAAAGUGGCGCACGGGUGAGUAACACGUAGGUAACCUACCCUCGAGUGGGGGAUAACCCUCCGAAAGGAGAGCUAAUACCGCAUGAGACCACGGCUCCCUCGGGAGCUGAGGUCAAAGCGGGCCUCUGCUUGCAAGCUCGCGCUUGAGGAUGGGCCUGCGGCCUAUCAGCUAGUUGGUGGGGUAAAAGCCCACCAAGGCAGAGACGGGUAGCUGGUCUGAGAGGAUGAACAGCCACACUGGAACUGAGACACGGUCCAGACUCCUACGGGAGGCAGCAGUGGGGAAUCUUGCGCAAUGGGCGAAAGCCUGACGCAGCGACGCCGCGUGAGUGAUGAAGGCCUUCGGGUUGUAAAGCUCUGUGGAGAGGGAAGAAUAAGGGCGAGCUAAUACCUCGUUCGAUGACGGUACCUCUUUAGCAAGCACCGGCUAACUCUGUGCCAGCAGCCGCGGUAA
RNAcentral lists this ribosomal RNA (516 nucleotides) under uncultured delta proteobacterium. Its description in RNAcentral is "bacterial SSU rRNA". It matches the Rfam family "Bacterial small subunit ribosomal RNA", at positions 27 to 523 of the family's 1533-position model. Lineage: Bacteria; Deltaproteobacteria. The record is from RNAcentral.